AGGCGGGACGUCAGGAGCGCACGCCCGUUCUGCUUCGGCGUGCGUCAGGCGGUGCGGGCGACGAUGUUGUAUAACGCGCCAAAAUGGGCACGGCAGAAGAGCGCGGCGGGUUGUUAGGGCAGGGAUGGCUGGAGGCACGGCGGCCGCCAUCUCUUGUUUGGCUCCCCUAGUGUACGUUCGCCGCCCUCGUCUGUCGUUUUCUUCCUGCAUGCGUCACCAAAAUCGAACCUGGAACGACCGAACCAUUAUGAGAAGUACACCGCCACUGGGCUUGGGAGAAACUACACCAGAGGAGCACCGUUUCGCAGGGCAUCAGACGAACCAUGCACUCGAGUCCUGGAAACAAAGGCAGCAAAAAUAAAAAGGUCAGACAGUUAGUUGCUCAGGCCAUCAUCCAAACCAUUCUUCUUCGGCUUAGUUUUCGCCUCCUCAUGCUAACUGGCUUGCUGCUUACAUCGAGUUAAGGGGAACACAUGUAAUGUAAACCAUUUUACUCACGAUGUUUAUUGAAGAAAAUUAACCAA
This is a long non-coding RNA of Musa acuminata AAA Group (dessert banana), 524 nucleotides long. RefSeq lists it as uncharacterized. The transcript has 2 exons. The record is from RefSeq and is a predicted model, not a curated record. NCBI's taxonomy places the organism in Eukaryota, Viridiplantae, Streptophyta, Magnoliopsida, Zingiberales, Musaceae.